UGAGGAAUAUUGCACAAUGGGCGCAAGCCUGAUGCAGCAACGCCGCGUGCGGGACGAAGGCCUUCGGGUCGUAAACCGCUUUUCUGGGGGAAGAGCAAGGACGGUACCUCAGGAAUAAGUCUCGGCUAACUACGUGCCAGCAGCCGCGGUAAAACGUAGGAGGCGAGCGUUAUCCGGAUUUACUGGGCGUAAAGCGCACGCAGGCGGCUCUGUUAGUCGGACGUGAAAGCUCUCGGCUUAACCGGGAGAGGCCGUUCGAUACUGCGGGGCUUGAGGCAGGGAGAGGAAUGCGGAGUUCCCGGUGUAGUGGUGGAAUGCGUAGAUAUCGGGAGGAACACCUGUGGCGAAAGCGGCAUUCUGGCCCUCACCUGACGCUGAGGUGCGAAAGCGUGGGUAGCAAACA
Molecule: ribosomal RNA, 403 nt
Filed under: uncultured bacterium
Lineage: Bacteria
Description: bacterial SSU rRNA
Rfam family: Bacterial small subunit ribosomal RNA
Source: RNAcentral